GAGACGACACGGCUGUGGCACACUGCAUGGCCCCAGAGUCACUGAGGCCGGGGACCUCAGGACUUCCUGGGAACCCACCUCUGAUGAGCUAAGGGACACCAGCCACAGGGGGGCGCCAUGCCUCAGAACUUGCUGAAAAGCCACCCGAGGAGGUGCCUGGGGCAGCUGUGCAUGUGUGUAUAUGAAUCUUGUUCUUUGCCUGCCCAGUGGUCAUCCAGGCUCCAGCACGUCUGCUCCACUGUGAUAGAGGCGGAAGGAGCAGGUCGGAACAAACCCCAUGGCCCCAGCAGAUGGCCCGGCAUGAGCAGCUACUUUUUCGACCAGGA
This 326-nucleotide long non-coding RNA is filed under the name Equus asinus (donkey). Its description in RNAcentral is "lncRNA (ENSEASG00005027273.1)". The record is from RNAcentral. Lineage: Eukaryota; Metazoa; Chordata; Mammalia; Perissodactyla; Equidae.